GAUGAACGCUGGCGGCGUGCCUAAUACAUGCAAGUCGAGCGAACAGACGAGGCGCUUGCUCCUCUGACGUUAGCGGCGGAAGGGUGAGUAACACGUGGAUAACCCACCUAUAAGACUGGGAUAACUUCGGGAAACCGGAGCUAAUACCGGAUAAUAUAUUGAACCGCAUGGUUCAAUAGUGAAAGACGGUUUUGCUGUCACUUAUAGAUGGAUCCGCGCCGCAUUAGCUAGUUGGUAAGGUGACCGCUUACCAAGGCAACGAUUCGUAGCCGACCUGAGAGGGUGCUCGGCCACACGGGAACUGGGCCACCCUCCAGACUCCUACGGCAGUCAGCAGUAGGGAAUCUUCCGCCAUGGGCGAAGGCCUGACGGUGCAACGCCGCGUGAGUGAUGAAGGUCUUCGGCUCGUAAAACUCUGUUAUUCGGGAAGAACCAAUGUGUAAGUAACUAUGCACGUCUUGACGGUACCUAGUCAGAAAGCCACGGCUAACUACGUG
RNAcentral lists this ribosomal RNA (497 nucleotides) under uncultured bacterium. RNAcentral's name for it is "partial 16S ribosomal RNA". It matches the Rfam family "Bacterial small subunit ribosomal RNA", at positions 28 to 507 of the family's 1533-position model. The record is from RNAcentral.